This 370-nucleotide ribosomal RNA is filed under the name uncultured eukaryote. Its description in RNAcentral is "partial 18S ribosomal RNA". It matches the Rfam family "Eukaryotic small subunit ribosomal RNA", at positions 592 to 976 of the family's 1831-position model. The record is from RNAcentral.
CAAUAGCGUAUAUUAAAGUUGUUGCAGUUAAAAAGCUCGUAGUCGGAUUUCGGGUUGGCGCGGUCGGUCUGCCGUUGGGUAUGCACUGACUGUCGCCUUCCUUUCCGGGGUAGAUCGUGCGUUUACUCGUGCGUUUCUCCUCGCGUUUACUUUGAGAAAAUCAGAGUGUUCAAAGCAGGCCUUUGCCAUUGUAUGUGUUAGCAUGGGAUAAUGGAAUAGGACUCUGGUGCUAUUUUGUUGGUUUCGAACGCCGGGGUAAUGAUUAAUAGGGACAGUCAGGGGCACUCGUAUUCCGUAGAGAGAGGUGAAAUUCUUAGACCCACGGAAGACGCACUACUGCGAAANCANNNGCCAGGGAUGUUUUCACNGA